CAUACUCGGGGAUAGCCUUCUGAAAGGAAGAUUAAUACCCGAUGGUAUCUCAAGAGCACAUGCAAUUAAGAUUAAAGAAUUUCGGUAUGCGAUGGGGAUGCGUUCCAUUUGGUAGUAGGCGGGGUAACGGCCCACCUAGCCAUCGAUGGAUAGGGGUUCUGAGAGGAAGGUCCCCCACAUUGGAGCUGAGACACGGUCCAAACUCCUACGGGAGUCAGCAGUGAGGAAUAUUGGUCAAUGGGCGCGAGCCUGAACCAGCCAAGUAGCGUGAAGGAUGACUGCCCUAUGGGUUGUAAACUUCUUUUGUCCGGGAAUAAAACCGCCUACGUGUAGGCGCUUGUAUGUACCGGUACGAAUAAGCAUCGGCUAACUCCGUGCCAGCAGCCGCGGUAAUACGGAGGAUGCGAGCGUUAUCCGGAUUUAUUGGGUUUAAAGGGAGCGCAGACGGGUUUUUAAGUCAGCUGUGAAAGUUUGGGGCCCAACCUUAAAAUUGCAGUUGAUACUGGAGACCUUGAGUGCAGUUGAGGCAGGCGGAAUUCGUGGUGUAGCGGUGAAGUGCUUAGAUAUCACGA
RNAcentral lists this ribosomal RNA (572 nucleotides) under uncultured Bacteroides sp. RNAcentral describes it as "bacterial SSU rRNA". It matches the Rfam family "Bacterial small subunit ribosomal RNA", at positions 132 to 702 of the family's 1533-position model. Lineage: Bacteria; Pseudomonadati; Bacteroidota; Bacteroidia; Bacteroidales; Bacteroidaceae. The record is from RNAcentral.